This 212-nucleotide ribosomal RNA is filed under the name uncultured bacterium. Its description in RNAcentral is "partial 16S ribosomal RNA". It matches the Rfam family "Bacterial small subunit ribosomal RNA", at positions 524 to 734 of the family's 1533-position model. The record is from RNAcentral.
UACGUAGGGUGCGAGCGUUGUCCGGAAUUAUUGGGCGUAAAGAGCUUGUAGGCGGUCUGUCGCGUCUGCUGUGAAAAUCCGGGGCUCAACCCCGGACUUGCAGUGGGUACGGGCAGACUAGAGUGUGGUAGGGGAGACUGGAAUUCCUGGUGUAGCGGUGAAAUGCGCAGAUAUCAGGAGGAACACCGAGUGGCGAAGGCAGGUCUCUGGGC